GGAUUUGAGCCUUUGCUCAGCAAGGAACGCUGGCGGACUGCCUAACACAUGCAUGUCGAACAGAAGGUUUCGGCCUUAGUGGUGCACGGUGUGCGAAACGCGUUUCAAAUCUGCCUUAAGGUUCGGAAUACCAGCGCGUAAAUUGGCUGGUAAUACCGAAUGACACCGGGAGAUCUCGGAAUUUAUCCGCCUGAGGAUGACCCCUAGGGGGGUGUGAGUAAAGCGCCCUACCAAAGGCGCCGAUCCGUAGCUGGUCUGAAGAGGAUGAUCAGCCCUCACUGGGAGUGAGUGCGCGGCCCCAGUCUCCUACGGGAGGCAGCAGUGGGGAAUAUUGGACAAUGGGCGAAAGCCUGAUCCAGCAAUGCCGCGUGAGUGAUGAAGGCCUUAGGGUUGUAAAGCUCUUUUACCCGGGAUGAUAAUGGCAGUGCCGGGAGAAUAAGCUCCGGCUAACUCCAGUGCCAGCAGCCGCGGUAAUACGGAGGGAGCUAGCGUUAUUCGGAAUUACUGGGCGUAAAGCGCACGUAGCGCGGCUUUGUAAGUUAGAGGUGAAAGCCUGGAGCUCAAGCUCCAGAAUUGCCUUUAAGACUGCAUCGCUUGAAUCCAGGAGAGGUGAGUGGAAUUCCGAGUGUAGAGGUGAAAUUCGUAGAUAUUCGGAAGAACACCAUGUGGCGAUAGGCGGCUCAUCUGGACUGGUAUUGACGCUGAGGUGCGAAAGCGUGGGGAGCAAACAGGAUUAGAUACCCUGGUAGUC
Molecule: ribosomal RNA, 751 nt
Filed under: uncultured Sphingomonas sp.
Lineage: Bacteria; Pseudomonadati; Pseudomonadota; Alphaproteobacteria; Sphingomonadales; Sphingomonadaceae
Description: bacterial SSU rRNA
Rfam family: Bacterial small subunit ribosomal RNA
Source: RNAcentral